CUGGUUUCCGUCGACCCGCAUCAGCCUAGCGCCGGCACCGGAUCUCCUGCUGUCCGGCCGCGCCGCCACCGCGACUCCUCGCUGCCCCCUUCGCAAACUCAUCUGGAUCACGUCUCCCUCGCUGCUCCUGUCUAAGACAAAGGUGAAUUUAUAUUGAGUUCCAGCCGGACAACUGUGGGCGAAGAGGUAAAAAGUUAAUGGCUCACGAAGGCCAGCGGAGACUGGAGUUUAACGAUGAAGCAGCGUACAAAGGUUUUCCCAUGGUGCUUGGCCACAUUGCCGACGGUCAAUGCCUGAUGCCAUGCCGCUCCACUGAUGAGGCCGAGAAGAUCAGGUCGCCUUCACCACAACGAAUCCGGACACUUCCGCCUUCCGCCAUCACGCACGGUCUGAUGAGCAUCAUCGCACGCCUGUGCCUCAUGGCCUUUCCAUUGCCAACCAUCAAGGUUGCCUAAAUUUACUAGCAGGUGGAGAAGCCAUCCAUGUGCUCAAUAGGUCUCAAGAUAGGUGGGUAGCAAGUUUGGUUUAGGCUGUUCACCAUAAAAGAGCAAUGGACCAAUAUCUCAAAUAAUAUCUGAAUCGAGUCUGAAUUCAUAAGGUAUAUACUAUUUUCAUCCUUCUGAUUAACUUUGGAUGAUCUUGUGGCCUGAUUCACUACAUAAUAUCUGGAGUGUUGAUGCUAACUCAUAUAGUGCUUUGCUCUCACUAUUUCAAUACUACAUUAUUACUCAAAAUAAUUUCAGUAGUACAUAUACUAUUACUCACUAUAAGGCUACACUGAAACUUUGCAAAACAACAUCUGAUGGGCCUGCAACGUGCUGCUGCUUAGUUGCAGAAUGGCAUCUAGCUCCCAAAUGGUCAUCGUGAAGCUUGUGUCAUAUAUGUUUUCUUGGCUGCCGCAAUCUAAAUUUAGGAGGCUAUUUCUAACACAAUGCCCUUAGAUGUUAGUUCUACAGAUCCAACAAAUUUGUGUUGCUCUUGUAUAGCUGGAUUUGGGACUUCAUUUGAUUUGGGGUUGAUAUAUGGUUAUGUUUCUUAGAUUUGAGUGGGAAUUUGUUUUUUGGUUCAAUCAGAGGAUGGAGGAUAAUAUGAUAUACCCAAUCAAGGACCAAGAAACCAUGCUGUGAGUUGGCCAAUCUCUGUUCUCCUGCAAUUACAUUUUCCUUUUUGCAGUAGAUCUUGCUUCCAAUUGAUUUUGUAGGGCAGUACCAAUGGACAUGAACAGGCAGCAGGAUACUGUUUGCUCCAAGGUAAUUUUGCAGCACCAAAACAGUACUAUACUGGCUAGCAACAUAUAAUUGUCUCGGAUUACAUCUAUGUUAUUAAUUAUAUAUUGCUUCUCAAAACAAAUAAUGCUACCGCUCGCUAAUUGUUCCCAUUUAGCAACAACCCUGUUAUCUAGAUUUACUACUUAUAUAUUGCGUAAAUAGAUACCUGAAUAGGGAGAUGAAUAUGUUUGUGCUGAACUUCAAACAUAAAAAGCUUAAUUCGAACCGAUUCUAUUGUUCAUUCUCUUUUCAAUUAGCCCUAUUUCUUCAAGUAUAUGAAUGGUGGAUGGAUGUAAUUCAUGCAUGGAAUGCUUUAUUGGUGCAUGAACUGGCCUUAAAUUGCAGUCAAACUCCAUUAGCGAGCGGAUUUGGAGAGCCAGAUAUUUUUCUGAAUACUUUUGUGUGCAGAUUUGGAGAGCCACUGAAUAAUUGAUUAAUGUAUUUUUGCUUUUUGUGAUGGAUCAAUGUCGCCCAACGAAGGUAACCGGCUGACACAAAAUUAUUUUGUAGUAAAUACAAAGUUAUCCCACACAAUCAUAUGUCUUUUUUUAAGCAAAUAUUCUAUGUAUCGGCAGCAAACUAUCUUUUUGUCCAUUAAUUGUCUUGUUGUCUUGUUGAGGAUCUUGGCUGCAACUACUGAUGUUCAGAGCAUCACAGAAGAUCAAACAGUUUUUAAGAACAAAAUUAGAGAAAAAUAGUGCUACAGUGCGACUGUCUGUUGGCUGUUUCCCCUGUAUUUAGUUUGUUUUUGUCAGUACUGAUUUUAGACAUGUUCCUAAAAUGUAAGGGGUGAUGUUUUUACAAAAUGUCAGCACUAAUUUUUUACACAAUCAUAUUCUUGGUUCCCUUAACUAACUGAACUAUUGUUUACCCAAGUUUUAUGCAUCUCCACUAUUGUUUGCUGUAUUAAAUUAAUCUCCAGAGUUUCUACCGAUUAUUACAUGUCCAUCAUGCAGAAGAUAUCCUCUUGGAGCAUAUUUCAGUAAUUCAAUACCUAAUAUUAUUUUGCUGCAAAGGAAAAACAUGGAGGAUUCAUAUUUCGGAAUAAUGUUUAACAUAAUUGUACCCAAUUGAUCGAGUUUUUGAUGUACGGUCAUUUUGUUUCAUUUUUCAGUUCUGUGACAGGCUAUGUUGGGUUUUGUUUUGAAACUCUAUAUACAGUCACUCGCUUUAACUAAACAGAGAUAGAUGCCUAAAUCGAUUCAGAGUUUCUGGAGUUGUUAAGGGGUACAUCCGGCAGAAGAAAUUUGAGAUGUUCGAGACGACCUAAUAAACGAUAUCAUCCUCCUCGAUCAGGUCAAGAUUGCCUUAGGAUGUAGGGCAAUCAAUCUUGAACCGAGCGGCACUGACACUACCUCAUCUCCUGAGAGGGACUGAUUUCGAAGUGAAUAUGAAAUCGAUGAUGACAAAUAAAUAUUACAUUUUUUUUGCAUUUGGUUGUUAUGUAAUAAAUAAACAAGUAAGGUUUAUUUCAUGAAUUGCCAAUGUAUUGCUUACAAUAAUGUUAUUUUUACUUGGUUCCUCUAUGAUUUUUUAAUGAUGUAUCA
This is a non-coding RNA of Oryza sativa Japonica Group (Japanese rice), 2815 nucleotides long. The record is from RefSeq and is a predicted model, not a curated record. Lineage: Eukaryota; Viridiplantae; Streptophyta; Magnoliopsida; Poales; Poaceae.